RNAcentral lists this non-coding RNA (45 nucleotides) under Paraburkholderia phenazinium. RNAcentral's name for it is "Guanidine-II sequence". It matches the Rfam family "Guanidine-II riboswitch aptamer (mini-ykkC)". From Rfam's summary of the family: Simpler in structure and has fewer highly conserved nucleotide positions than the ykkC-yxkD leader. Despite this each of its two stem-loop structures directly bind free guanidine. The record is from Rfam by way of RNAcentral. Lineage: Bacteria; Pseudomonadati; Pseudomonadota; Betaproteobacteria; Burkholderiales; Burkholderiaceae.
CGUAAGGACGGCCUUACGCAUUCGCAUCGAACGGGGACGGCCCCA